This is a long non-coding RNA of Mercenaria mercenaria, 615 nucleotides long. RefSeq lists it as uncharacterized. The record is from RefSeq and is a predicted model, not a curated record. NCBI's taxonomy places the organism in Eukaryota, Metazoa, Mollusca, Bivalvia, Venerida, Veneridae. The transcript has 7 exons.
GUUUGAAAUAUUUGUUGAUGUCUGCAUCUCGUAAGAUAUCGGAAGCCGUCUGACUUGGCCACAUCGCUCGGAAGUCCGAAGUACUAGAAAAAACCGCCAUCUGCUACCUUAAGACAUUUGUCAAUUUUUGUCUGCAUCUCGUAAGAUAUCGGAAGCCGUCUGACUUGGCCACAUCGCUCGGAAGUCCGAAGUACUAGAAAAAACCGCCAUCUGCUACCUUAAACAUUUGUCAAUUUUUGUCUGCAUCUCGUAAGAUAUCGGAAGCCGUCUGACUUGGCCACAUCGCUCGGAAGUCCGAAGUACUAGAAAAAACCGCCAUCUGCUACCUUAAGACAUUUGUCAAUUUUUGUCUGCAUCUCGUAAGAUAUCGGAAGCCGUCUGACUUGGCCACAUCGCUCGGAAGUCCGAAGUACUAGAAAAAACCGCCAUCUGCUACCUUAAGACAUUUGUCAAUUUUUGUCUGCAUCUCGUAAGAUAUCGGAAGCCGUCUGACUUGGCCACAUCGCUCGGAAGUCCGAAGUACUAGAAAAAACCGCCAUCUGCUACCUUAAGACAUUUGUCAAUUUUUGUCUGCAUCUCGUAAGAUAUCGGAAGCCGUCUGACUUGGCCACAUCG